GUCCACGCUGUAAACGAUGGAGUGCUAGACGUCACGGGUAUUGACCCCUGUGGUGUCGAAGUUAACACGUUAAGCACUCCGCCUGGGGGAGUACGGUCGCAAGAUUAAAAACCCAAAGGAAUUGACGGGGGCCCGCACAAGCGGUGGAGCAUGUGGUUUAAUUCGACGCAACGCGCAGAACCUUACCUGGGUUUGAACUGCAGUGGACCGGUGCAGAGAUGUACCUUCCCUUCGGGGCUGCUGUAGAGGUGCUGCAUGGCUGUCGU
RNAcentral lists this ribosomal RNA (266 nucleotides) under uncultured bacterium. RNAcentral describes it as "partial 16S ribosomal RNA". It matches the Rfam family "Bacterial small subunit ribosomal RNA", at positions 793 to 1055 of the family's 1533-position model. The record is from RNAcentral.